Molecule: ribosomal RNA, 497 nt
Filed under: uncultured bacterium
Lineage: Bacteria
Description: partial 16S ribosomal RNA
Rfam family: Bacterial small subunit ribosomal RNA
Source: RNAcentral
GAUGAACGCUGGCGGCGUGCCUAAUACAUGCAAGUCGAGCGAACAGAUGAGGAGCUUGCUCCUCUGACGUUAGCGGCGGACGGGUGAGUAACACGUGGAUAACCUACCUAUAAGACUGGGAUAACUUCGGGAAACCGGAGCUAAUACCGGAUAAUAUAUUGAACCGCAUGGUUCAAUAGUGAAAGACGGUUUUGCUGUCCCUUAUAGAUGGAUCCGCGCCGCAUUAGCUAGUUGGUAAGGUAACGGCUUACCAAGGCAACGAGGCGUAGCCGACCUGAGAGGGUGAUCGGCCACACGGGGACUGAGACACGGUCCAGACUCCUACGGGAGGCAGCAGUAGGGAAUCUUCCGCAAUGGGCGAAAGCCUGACCGAGCAACGCCGCGUGAGUGAUGAAGGUCUUCGGAUCGUAAAACGCUGUUAUUAGGGAAGAACAAAUGUUUAAGUAACUAUGCACGACUUGACGGUACCUAAACAGAAAGCCACGGCUAACUACGUG